RNAcentral lists this ribosomal RNA (860 nucleotides) under uncultured bacterium. RNAcentral's name for it is "bacterial SSU rRNA". It matches the Rfam family "Bacterial small subunit ribosomal RNA", at positions 90 to 946 of the family's 1533-position model. The record is from RNAcentral.
AUUCAGCGGCGGACGGGUGAGUAAUGCCUAGGAAUCUGCCCGAUAGUGGGGGACAACGUUUCGAAAGGAACGCUAAUACCGCAUACGUCCUACGGGAGAAAGCAGGGGACCUUCGGGCCUUGCGCUAUCGGAUGAGCCUAGGUCGGAUUAGCUAGUUGGUGGGGUAAAGGCUCACCAAGGCGACGAUCCGUAACUGGUCUGAGAGGAUGAUCAGUCACACUGGAACUGAGACACGGUCCAGACUCCUACGGGAGGCAGCAGUGGGGAAUAUUGGACAAUGGGCGAAAGCCUGAUCCAGCCAUGCCGCGUGUGUGAAGAAGGUCUUCGGAUUGUAAAGCACUUUAAGCUGGGAGGAAGGGCAGUAAGCUAAUACCUUGCUGUUUUGACGUUACCAGCAGAAUAAGCACCGGCUAACUUCGUGCCAGCAGCCGCGGUAAUACGAAGGGUGCAAGCGUUAAUCGGAAUUACUGGGCGUAAAGCGCGCGUAGGUGGUUCAGCAAGUUGGAUGUGAAAGCCCCGGGCUCAACCUGGGAACUGCAUCCAAAACUACUGGGCUAGAGUAUGGUAGAGGGUGGUGGAAUUUCCUGUGUAGCGGUGAAAUGCGUAGAUAUAGGAAGGAACACCAGUGGCGAAGGCGACCACCUGGACUAAUACUGACACUGAGGUGCGAAAGCGUGGGGAGCAAACAGGAUUAGAUACCCUGGUAGUCCACGCCGUAAACGAUGUCAACUAGUUGUUGGGUUCCUUGAGGACUUAGUAACGAAGCUAACGCGAUAAGUUGACCGCCUGGGGAGUACGGCCGCAAGGUUAAAACUCAAAUGAAUUGACGGGGGCCCGCACAAGCGGUGGAGCAUGUGGUU